CUGAAAAAUAUUUUUUUUAUCAUAAAUUGCUUUCUUAAUAUGUCUAGAAUACGGUAGUGAAGUGCUUUUUAAAAAAUCGAAGUCGUUUUAAAGAUACAGCUAGUUAGAAGAAGGACCUCUUCGAAGCGCUGAGUUGGCAGGUGAAAACUUUGAACGCGUUUUUCUCAAAACUGUAUUUUUCAAACUUUCCUCCUUGGUAUCUCAAAAACGGCUUGACCGAUACUUGUUGGAUGCACUCAGCACAUAUAAACGCAUGAAACUCUCUAUUAUCAAUCAGAUAUUCCCAAAAACUCGAUUUUUUAUAGCAAAAAACUAAAAAAAAAACACAAAAAUUAAAAAAAUUCCAAAUUUUUUUUCAAAUACGCAUUCCGUGUAUAUAAGCACACAGAUUGUUUCCAAUCGGAAUCGUGGAGGAUGUGGGAACCCAUUUUUUCUAGGCGGCGGUGUUCAGAAAACUAAAAAAUUCUAAAAAAAAUGCCAACACAAGGGAUGAUCCCAUUAAAGUUCUCUUAAUUUUUGGAAAAAGGAAAAAGCCACACAGAGUCAUGUCUGACGAAUAUGGAGCCUGGGGCAUCGUUACAGUAUUUAUUCUUUUGGCAAAGGAUUCAUAAACAAGCAACGAAGUGUGAGCUUUUAACAAACAAAAAUCGCCAAGCUUUAUUUCGCCAUGUUUGAUCUGAAGAUUUUUUAUACAACGACUACUCUGUGGCACAGUCGAGAUAUGCCCGAGAGCUUCCGUUCUCAAAACCGUGGACGUUGUCAAUCCUCUACAUUGAAAGCAUUAGGAAAUAGCGCUACAGGGAAAUGAUCCUCAAAUACAUUUAAAAUACGAUUAUUCUCUUUAUUGAAUACAAACUUUAUGAUUACAAUUACAAAUUUAAGAUUAAAAUACAAAAGUUGUUGUUUUUUAAAUACACAUUUCUGGUCAUCGCUGACUUAACUAACGAGUAAGUACAUAAUAUAAAAUGCAUUAUAAAAG
Zeugodacus cucurbitae (melon fly) is the source of this 979-nucleotide long non-coding RNA. RefSeq lists it as uncharacterized. The record is from RefSeq and is a predicted model, not a curated record. The transcript has 2 exons. NCBI's taxonomy places the organism in Eukaryota, Metazoa, Arthropoda, Insecta, Diptera, Tephritidae.